This 460-nucleotide ribosomal RNA is filed under the name uncultured bacterium. RNAcentral describes it as "partial 16S ribosomal RNA". It matches the Rfam family "Bacterial small subunit ribosomal RNA", at positions 338 to 795 of the family's 1533-position model. The record is from RNAcentral.
CCUACGGGUGGCAGCAGUGAGGAAUAUUGGUCAAUGGGCGAGAGCCUGAACCAGCCAAGUCGCGUGAAGGAUGACGGCCCUACGGGUUGUAACCUUCUUUUGUCAGGGAGCAAUUGAGUCCACGUUUGGGCUUGGCGAGAGUACCUGAAGAAAAAGCAUCGGCUAACUCCGUGCCAGCAGCCGCGGUAAUACGGAGGAUGCGAGCGUUAUCCGGAUUUAUUGGGUUUAAAGGGUGCGUAGGCGGAAUAUCAAGUCCGCGGUAAACAUUCGGGGCUCAACCCCGUCGUGCCGUUGAAACUGAUGUUCUUGAGUGGGCGAGAAGUAUGCGGAAUGCGUGGUGUAGCGGUGAAAUGCAUAGAUAUCACGCAGAACUCCGAUUGCGAAGGCAGCAUACCGGCGCCCAACUGACGCUGAAGCACGAAAGCGUGGGUAUCGAACAGGAUUAGAUACCCGGGUAGUC